RNAcentral lists this ribosomal RNA (247 nucleotides) under uncultured bacterium. RNAcentral's name for it is "partial 16S rRNA". It matches the Rfam family "Bacterial small subunit ribosomal RNA", at positions 505 to 751 of the family's 1533-position model. The record is from RNAcentral.
GUGCCAGCCGCCGCGGUAAUACGUAGGUGGCAAGCGUUGUCCGGAUUUACUGGGCGUAAAGGAUGUGUAGGCGGAUAUUUAAGUGAGAUGUGAAAUCCCCGGGCUUAACUUGGGGGCUGCAUUUCAAACUGGAUGUCUAGAGUGCAGGAGAGGAAAGCAGAAUUCCUAGUGUAGCGGUGAAAUGCGUAGAGAUGAGGAAGAAUACCAGCGGCGAAGGCGGCGUUCUGGGCGGAAACUGACGAUGAGG